UGAUACUGUGUUUUGAUGGUUUCGCCAAAGUCAGCAGUGUUAGCCUUCUGUCUAGGCUCCACCCCACACUUUCGUGGCAACAACCAGCAACCAGGGUCUUCAGCUGGUAGCUGCUGAUUGCAUUAGAACACACGACUGCAUUGUGAUGAAGGCCGUUGUGGUAUUGGUUGCCCGAACAUCCAUCCUGAAGUCAUUAUCUUUCAGUUCGAAAAAGGAAAAGGAAACAUUAAGCGCAGUCUCCUGACCAGCGAGACUGUCAUUGAAAUGCACCUAGGGAUUACCUGGAAUUUCAUCCGCAUCUUUCCUUUGGUCCAGCCUGGCAGGGUAGGGAUGAAACAGUUGUCUUGGCCAGCUUUUCCCACACCUCGAGUGCCCCUGUGAGUGUCCAUGCACGAUGCUCCCUUUUGAAGCUCUCCACACACGACCUUGAUUUUAAAUGAUGAUACCUUAAGCCAGCGAGAUGGCUUAAUGGUCGUGAUGGGCAAGCCUGACCUACCUGAGUUCCAUGCCAGGAACCACACAGCAGAAAAUUGACUGCUCCAUGUUGUCCUAUGGCCUCCAUUUAGAGCCAUGGUACGGUU
This is a long non-coding RNA of Mastomys coucha (southern multimammate mouse), 581 nucleotides long. RefSeq lists it as uncharacterized. The record is from RefSeq and is a predicted model, not a curated record. NCBI's taxonomy places the organism in Eukaryota, Metazoa, Chordata, Mammalia, Rodentia, Muridae. The transcript has 3 exons.